RNAcentral lists this ribosomal RNA (495 nucleotides) under uncultured bacterium. RNAcentral describes it as "partial 16S ribosomal RNA". It matches the Rfam family "Bacterial small subunit ribosomal RNA", at positions 28 to 507 of the family's 1533-position model. The record is from RNAcentral.
GACGAACGCUGGCGGCGUGCCUAAUACAUGCAAGUAGAACGCUGAAGGAGGAGCUUGCUUCUCUGGAUGAGUUGCGAACGGGUGAGUAACGCGUAGGUAACCUGCCUGGUAGCGGGGGAUAACUAUUGGAAACGAUAGCUAAUACCGCAUAAUAUUGACUAUUGCAUGAUAGUCAGUUGAAAGGUGCAACUGCACCACUACCAGAUGGACCUGCGUUGUAUUAGCUAGUUGGUGGGGUAACGGCUCACCAAGGCGACGAUACAUAGCCGACCUGAGAGGGUGAUCGGCCACACUGGGACUGAGACACGGCCCAGACUCCUACGGGAGGCAGCAGUAGGGAAUCUUCGGCAAUGGACGGAAGUCUGACCGAGCAACGCCGCGUGAGUGAAGAAGGUUUUCGGAUCGUAAAGCUCUGUUGUAAGAGAAGAACGAGUGUGAGAGUGGAAAGCUCACACUGAGACGGUAGCUUACCAGAAAGGGACGGCUAACUACGUG